This 409-nucleotide ribosomal RNA is filed under the name uncultured bacterium. Its description in RNAcentral is "bacterial SSU rRNA". It matches the Rfam family "Bacterial small subunit ribosomal RNA", at positions 357 to 763 of the family's 1533-position model. The record is from RNAcentral.
AGGGAUUGGCAUGGGCGAAAGCCUGAUCAGCCUGCCGCGUGUGUGAAGAAGGCCUUUUGGUUGUAAAGCACUUUAAGCGAGGAGGAGGCUACUUAGAUUAAUACUCUAGGAUAGUGGACGUUACUCGCAGAAUAAGCACCGGCUAACUCUGUGCCAGCAGCCGCGGUAAUACAGAGGGUGCGAGCGUUAAUCGGAUUUACUGGGCGUAAAGCGUGCGUAGGCGGCUUCUUAAGUCGGAUGUGAAAUCCCUGAGCUUAACUUAGGAAUUGCAUUCGAUACUGGGAAGCUAGAGUAUGGGAGAGGAUGGUAGAAUUCCAGGUGUAGCGGUGAAAUGCGUAGAGAUCUGGAGGAAUACCGAUGGCGAAGGCAGCCAUCUGGCCUAAUACUGACGCUGAGGUACGAAAGCAUG